RNAcentral lists this ribosomal RNA (705 nucleotides) under Salmonella enterica subsp. enterica serovar Oranienburg. RNAcentral describes it as "partial 23S ribosomal RNA". It matches the Rfam family "Bacterial large subunit ribosomal RNA", at positions 1 to 739 of the family's 2925-position model. Lineage: Bacteria; Pseudomonadati; Pseudomonadota; Gammaproteobacteria; Enterobacterales; Enterobacteriaceae. The record is from RNAcentral.
GGGUUGUGAGGUUAAGCGACUAAGCGUACACGGUGGAUGCCCUGGCAGUCAGAGGCGAUGAAGGACGUGCUAAUCUGCGAUAAGCGCCGGUAAGGUGAUAUGAACCGUUAUAACCGGCGAUUUCCGAAUGGGGAAACCCAGUGUGACUCGUCACACUAUCAUUAACUGAAUCCAUAGGUUAAUGAGGCGAACCGGGGGAACUGAAACAUCUAAGUACCCCGAGGAAAAGAAAUCAACCGAGAUUCCCCCAGUAGCGGCGAGCGAACGGGGAGGAGCCCAGAGCCUGAAUCAGCAUGUGUGUUAGUGGAAGCGUCUGGAAAGGCGCGCGAUACAGGGUGACAGCCCCGUACACAAAAGCGCAUGUGCUGUGAGCUCGAUGAGUAGGGCGGGACACGUGGUAUCCUGUCUGAAUAUGGGGGGACCAUCCUCCAAGGCUAAAUACUCCUGACUGACCGAUAGUGAACCAGUACCGUGAGGGAAAGGCGAAAAGAACCCCGGCGAGGGGAGUGAAAAAGAACCUGAAACCGUGUACGUACAAGCAGUGGGAGCACCCUUUGGGGUGUGACUGCGUACCUUUUGUAUAAUGGGUCAGCGACUUAUAUUCUGUAGCAAGGUUAACCGUAUAGGGGAGCCGGAGGGAAACCGAGUCUUAAUUGGGCGUUAAGUUGCAGGGUAUAGACCCGAAACCCGGUGAUCUAGCCAUGG